UCCUCCGCGGGUACCUGCAGUUCGCCU
RNAcentral lists this non-coding RNA (27 nucleotides) under Mus musculus (house mouse). Lineage: Eukaryota; Metazoa; Chordata; Mammalia; Rodentia; Muridae. The record is from RNAcentral.